AGAAGGGGAAAGAUGACGCACCGAGAGCGCGGGGUAGUGUCUGCCCCCGGGGAGGGCGCCCACCUCCCGGAAGCGGAAACGGAGACCGGAGACCGGCGGUCCCCUCCCCCACUCGCCCGCGGAAAACUCAACAGGAGAGUGGUCUCGAGUCCUGAGUGGACACACCUACCUGACAGCUUGCAUUCAUUUAAGAUGGUAAAACAUCACUUCCCAUCGCUCCACGUCUUCCCUGGCCUCGCUUCACCUUCCCCCCAUCCUCGCCGCCUGGGGUUUGCACGCGUAUGGGAAGCGGCGGCUCUCCUUCCUUCCUCGCCUGGGGACUCUGUCCUGGGGUAGGAGGGCUGGAAAAACCACGUUCGAUUGCACGCCCCCUCCAUGUGAGCUGGCUCUGAAAGCCAGGAAAUUGAGAUAAAGGCAGGACAAGGAGAAAGAGCAGCCUUCAGGAAGCAAAACGAGACUGUCUCCUAGAAAAGACAAGGGGCUUCAUAAGGGCCAAGAGUCCAUUCACCUCUGAACUCACAAAAUCAAUGGCAUGCCGUUCAGGAGAAAAUACGAAACACAUCCAGGCAGCUGUAAGGAAAGAAGCUGUGACCACUGGGACUUUGCAGUGCAGUGCCAUGCAUGCCCAGGUAGCAUGCACACUUCUGACUGGGACCUCCAGAAACAGUUCCUGCCCCUUUACGUGGGUGCCGGGAAGGCUAUGGUUUUCUCUGUACCUCGACAUCCUGAAAUAAUGAGGAUUAUUGGAGUCUAACCUUCAGGAAGACAGAGAUGAAGAUGCCCCUACCCCAAAUAUGCAAGGACCUCACAUGACCCAGGGACAAGACAAUCCCUGUCUAUUCUCUCCUUGGUUUGAAGAUGGGCACACGGUCCAAGGCACACCUAAUUUCAGUGAGAAGGAAGACAGCAACUGUGUCACUUAACAUGACAUUCGAGGCGUCCUCCGGUGCCAAUUGCUUCUGCAGCCUGAAACCCCUAGCUUUCCUACUUUUCUAGUCUAGGUGGGACAACACAGGACCAAGGGAAAGUUAUUUGUGAAGGGUUACAGAGCCUCUGAAAACUCUGACUGUGAAGACCACAGUGUCUUCAACCCUGCGCGCUUGUUCUGGCCAUGGGCUGUUAGGCUCCCGUCAGCAUAUUAUAGGUAAAGACUAGACACCGCUAAUGUCCCUUAAUGGAAAUAAAAGGCACUUAUGAAAUAGGUACAAAGGGGAGUACAUUCUCAGGAGCAGGGAGCCAUCAUCUCUCAGACCUGCACCAGUGCUGCUCUCUGUAAUGACGUUAGCAAGCAUUUAGAACUGGCACUAUUUUUUACUUUUUCCUGCUUCGGUGAUGAAGGUGAACAGCAUAUGGCACCCCAAGACAUGCUACUUUGGCAUAUUGAUUAUUUUGAGUGGUAGGCACUUGAAAAACAGCAAAUGCAGAAAGAGGCUUUCUUGGCUUCCCUGUGUCUGCUUAAAGAGAGUCUCCCGGAGGACUGCAAUCGUCCUAAGUCCCUUUCCUGGAAGUUUCACGAGCUAGGGAUAGGAGAUGAGAACUAGAUGCCGCCACCCCAGACGAACUUGGUCACAAACUCAUCAUCUCCCAUCUAAUCUUCUGACGGCCCUUCAUCUUUUCUAAAGAUCAUUUACUCCCCACUUAGGAGGUCUACAUCCUCCUCCUCUUCCCCUCUUAAGAUGGUAUUUAAUCUGAAUUCUAAUUAAGCCACCAGGGAGAGUUAAUCAGUUUUCCAGUUUAUCUCCCUGUGUAUAUAUAAACUGCUGUUUGUUCUUCUCUUGUUAACUUUUUUUUUUUAAUUACAGAGGUCUCAGCUAAGAACUCAAGAUGAUAGAGGGAAAAUUAUCUUUCCUCUCCUGCAAGGUCUUGUUUUCGCAACUAGAUGACCCAUUCUCUGAAGAGAGGGGUUCUCUUCUGUGCUUUUUUUGAGCCCUCAUAGUACUUAACAGUGGGUCUUCUGCACGGUGGGUCCUUAACAGGAUUUAACUGACUUUUCACUACGUGGAUUCAUUCUACAGGUACAUAACGGUGGAUUGUCAGUGUUUUAUUAUAAACGAAUAAAUCAGAAACCCCAUGUCAUCACCCUGCCCUUCAACGGCCAUUUCUUAACUCCCCUCUUUUCUUCUCAGCAUUGCAGACCGGGUGUUUCACAUCCUUCCUGUCUCCUCAGGGCGCUUUUGUACUUGCUGUACCAAGAAAACAAAAGCAGCUUACCUCUGUCCACCUCCCUACCCGCCCACCCUCCAGAUAACCCAAGUGCGUGGAAAGCCGUUCCUGCCCGAAGACGAACCCGUGCGAACGUGAUGUGUUACAAAGACCACUGGGUUGGUUAUUGCUGCGGGAUGAAUGUGCGUGGCCUCCUCCCUAAAUUCAUAACCUGAAACUCAGUGCCCGUGUGAUGGCACCUGGAGGUGAGGCGUUUCGGAAGCGAUUAGGUCACUACCACAGAGCCCUCUUGAACGGGAUUAGCGCCCUUAUAAGAGGAACUCAGAGAGCUUCCUCCCACUUCUGCCAGGUGAAGUUACAGUGAAAAGACAGCCAUCUGUGAACCGGGAAGGGGCCCUGCGCCAGAACUCCACCAUGUAGCACCCUGACCCUGCCAGCCUCCAGAAGUGUGAAGAGUAACCGGCAGUUGUUCAGCGACGCCCGGGUUAAGUUCUAGCUCCCUGAAUGGACUUCCACGGCAACCAGUGUUUUCUGUGCUUCGCACCCGCUGUGCGAGCCCGCGCAGGUCCCUGGGGUCUCUGGGACUCGCCGGUGAAAUGAAGGGACUGGACCAGAUUGUCACUAUCUAAUACAUGGCACUCGCAUAUGUGGCUAUUAACAUUUAAAUGAAUUAAAAUGGGAUGAAAUAAAAAAUUCAGUUUUCAGGGACACUAACCACCUUUCCAGGGCUCUAUAGCCACCCAUCUAGUGGCCCCCACACCAGGCAGGGCCAACCUAGGGCAUCCCCCUCCGAGUGGAGGGUUCUGCUGGCCCCAGGCUGGCGGAUUUCCUGGUUUCUUCCAGCCCUAGGACCCAACGUCUGUACACUUAGGGUGGGGAAAUCCUAGAGGGAAAAGAUGGGCGAAUGAACUAGCCUCUGCAGGAUUUAAUGUAAGUCUGGAGGGCGACAUAGAAUGGCUAUGCAGUGCAAAGAGGACACACUCAAAACAAAACAAAACAAAACAAAACAAAACAAAACAAAACAAAACAAAACAAAACAAAGAACCAUGAGCUACCAGUGAUUCGAAGAGUUCUGUCUGGCCUGGGACGACCUUGGAGGCAAGAACAUUUCGCACUGACAGGGCACUGUCGAUAUCCUGGCUGGGUGCCGAGGAGACUUAACGUUGGAUGUUCGCAUAGGGCUGUUUGGCUGCUUUCCCCCGCCCUCCUAUCUGCACAGCUGCGACCAGUUUAUCAGUGUCUCCCCGGCUGGCUGCUGCUAGAACCAGGAGUGUCUCCUCUGAGACAGCACCCAGGAAUGCUGUCCAAGACCAGGCACAGCCCAGGACAGAAAGUCCUCUCAAGGUCAUGGAAGUUACCUUGCCUCUGCUCUCUGGAGCAAGGCUUCUCAGAGCACAGCAACACGCUCUUUGUCACAACCAUGUGUAAGGAGCGUUAGCAGUAUAUUACUUAUAAUAUACUACCAAUGCUUGCAUACCACCUAUUAUGUUAUUGUGUUUACUAAUAAUAGCAAUGGUUAUUUACUGAGCGUUUUUGACAUCUCAGGGACUGUGCUCAAUGGAGUGUACCUUAUAGUUCAUUUGUUCCUUGAAACAACUCUAAGAGUGAGUGUGGCUAUAUUUUACCACCGCCCUGACUCCAAGGUGGAUGGGUGCACAAGCUCUGCGAGAAGAGCUCUAUACUUCUCCUAGUUUUCCCGGUGUCCCCAACCCACCACAAAGAGGAGAGCUUCUGACUGAUACGGGUCAUGUGGAAUAUGUCACACGAGUUCUGUGAAUGUUGAGGCCAGAGAGACGUCCCUUCUGCUGGGAGAUUGUUAGACACUAGCAUGCCUGGCUGGUGAGGUUGGGCUAUCUUCCCUGGACACCAAGAGCCAGGACGCCUGGUGCAGGCCCUCAGCACAGGCAACACUUGUUACUGGAAUGGGAGCUGCAGGCUCCAGGGCACCAGGAGUCCACCAGCUUCCUGGGGCCAGCAGCACGUGAUCCGGCGGAGGCUGGAGCACGCUGGGUCUCUCCAUGGACCACCUAGACCUGGCUCUUCUAUUCCACGGCCCCUUGGCCUAUUUCUUUACAUCAGAGUGAUGGCAAAACAUACCCCCACAGGGUCUAAUUUCAUAGAUGGAGCAAUGAAUACAAUAUGACAUCUGUCUCAUUUUGUGCUUUGCUGGUGUGUGGUAAACAAAUGUUCAAUACAGAGCAACUGUUAUUAGAAUCAUUGUUGUUGAGAAUAGUAACAAGAAUGUAAUAGUAAUGAGAAUGCAGUAAUAGCAAGGAGAAUGGUAGCAUGAAUAUUGCUGUUUUAUUGUUAGUCACGGAUUCUUGGCAAACUCGGGAAUCUGAUGUAGUCUGUGUAUGGGAGGAUUGUGGAGAGGUCAAGAUAGAGACUUGCUCUGACCAAUCAUGCCUUCUUCCAUGUCCUGAGCCCACCUCACCCCAAAGCAUCUGUAUUUCAAUUACACAUUAUACAUGUGGAAACGGAGGCUUCGGUUGGUUGAGAAAGUUGUCCAUCCCAGCGGAUACCUCUAGUAACAUUUCCCUCCCCCUUUGUGUUUCCACACCCAUUCUUGAGUGGGAGAGGAAGGGACGAGGGUGACAUCUGGGAGUGACACACAACACAAAGAUAGCUCGUGGCAGUGUGUUGGACUUGUGGGUUUUAUCAGGCCUCUGGGUCACAGCUGAAAAACAAGGUUUUUGAAAUGGUGAUGUGUCACUGUCGAGAACGGCUCACAGGCAGUGAUGUGGCAUCACUUCUGGCUGAGGGACAAAAAAACUUCACCCAAUCAGGCACACAGUCAGCGAAGACAGUGACAUAAAAUCACCACAGCCUGUCUCUGGAAUCCAGCUGUUUGCUUUGUUUCAAAUAAAUCCAGCAUCAAAGCCACACCAGACAGAAAUUCUCUCAAUGACUAGAGCAGGGAUUUCCAACCAGUGUGACACAAGAAUUUUUAAAACUCGAAAUACCUGGGUAUUUAGUCAGGGGCACUGACCUCUUUUUGAAAAAUCUUUACCAGAGGAUGUAUUUAUUGAUUUUAGAGAGAAAACAAGGAGAGAAGGAGAAAGAGAGAAAAAGCAAGAAAGAGAGAGAUUGAAAGAAACAUCAUCGUAAGAGAGAAAUAUUGAUUGGGUGCCUCCCUAACGUGCCCAGACUGAGGAUUGAACCCACAACCUUUUGGACAAUACUCCAACCAACCGAGCCAUCCAGCCAGGGUAGGGGCAGACCUCUUUUCCCUCAGAUUGUCAAAUAAAAAAAACUGACAAUAGCCAACACAACCAUAGCUGUCUGGUGUAAAUGAAUCAAAAUUGUACCUAUUUUUUUUUUUGUCAGACUGACAAAAAGUAGAAUUUUUUUGGUGUGCCACAGAAUUUUAGUAACUAGUUGGUGCGAUAUUAAAAAAAAGAUCGAAAAGUCCUGGGCUUGAGGAAUGUGGAGUUAGGGUCGGUGACAGUUGUCUAAAAAAUAUCCCUUUGGGCUGGAGGGCCAGUCUGGACUUUGGGUUUCCCUGGUCUUCCCAAGACCUUGAAUCAACUCCAGAAUGAUUUCUGGAGUGUAGGCCUCACCCCAGGGCUUAUUUGUCAUUCUGUCAUUUUUACCAAGCUAUUUACAUUGCUUUUCUUAAUGACUGGCCAAGGACUCCUUUCCUGGUCACUAAGGACAGGGUGAUAAAGUUCAGCCUUUGUGUGCCUAAAGUGUGGAUUUCUCAUAAGGACAGAAAGAGUCAUAGGGUGUGGCUUUCUCCAGAGUUAUUAGGAUGCAGAACUUAAUGGCUCAGACUCUGCAGUCAGAAGACCUGGGCAGGAAUCCAAUCCCACUUCAUCUUAGCUGCCUGAUAUGGGGGCAAGUCGCUCAACUCUUUAAGCCUCAGUUUCCCCAUAUGGAUGUCGAGUUGGAAUAAUGAGAGUAUCCAUUUUGCAGGGUGGCAGGGAGGUUUCGAUGAGCAAAGGUUCUUGAGGUGUUUGGCACACAUUGGCAGUCCUCACACCCAAACAGCCUCACACUCAAAAUAUUUAACAACAGGAAUGAGGAGGGCAGGGACAUAUCAGGGCGGAUGCUGUUAUCACCACUGUUUAUUCUGACUGGUUAAUACGAAUGUUGUUUUGGUUGUUAAGUAUUUUGUAUAUCACUCCUGGUAUUAAUCUCUCAAUAAAUGCUGACUCUGAUUAUUAUUGUUUCUUUUCUCACAAGGAAGGGAAUCAGGAAUUCAUAGGGCAGAGUGUUCUGCACAAUUUGUACCUAUAGAUUUCAUGUUGUGUUCCUGAGUCCCCCAUCCCCACUUCCUCCGUGUUGCCAGGAGGAAACAGCUUCGCCAUUGCAAACAGCCUCCAAGUGCCAUCCAUCAAAGGAGGGAAACUGUUUAGUGUUUCACCGACAGUGUCGCAGAUGAGAAGGAUCCCUCACCCCCGUACUGAAUGCUUCCAGCAGUACAGAGCAUCAUUAGUAAAAAAAUGAUCAGGAAUCAUCAUCAAAGAGAAGCACUCUUCCUAUCCCUUUCAUGCUCAGUGGAAAAAUAACGAGAUCGAGAAGAUAAAAGGCAGGGAGCCAGCCCGUGAGGAGGCAGAAAUGAAAGAGAUGGAUACUCCCCACAUUAGAACAAAAGCAGAAAUAAUAAAC
Artibeus jamaicensis (Jamaican fruit-eating bat) is the source of this 6774-nucleotide long non-coding RNA. RefSeq lists it as uncharacterized. Lineage: Eukaryota; Metazoa; Chordata; Mammalia; Chiroptera; Phyllostomidae. The record is from RefSeq and is a predicted model, not a curated record. The transcript has 5 exons.